UGCGGAGGGUGCGAGCGUUAAUCGGAAUUACUGGGCGUAAAGCGCGCGUAGGCGGCUUCGUCAGUCAGAUGUGAAAAGCCCCCGGGCUCAACCUGGAACUGCAUUUGAUACUGCGAGCUAGAGUAUGGUAGAGGAUAGUGGAAUUCCAGGUGUAGCGGUGAAAUGCGUAGAUAUCUGGAGGAACAUCAGUGGCGAAGGCGACUGUCUGGACCAAUACUGACGCUGAGGUGCGAAAGCGUGGGGCAAACAGGAUUAGAUACCCGUGUAGUCC
Molecule: ribosomal RNA, 271 nt
Filed under: uncultured bacterium
Lineage: Bacteria
Description: partial 16S ribosomal RNA
Rfam family: Bacterial small subunit ribosomal RNA
Source: RNAcentral